GCGAUCCCGCCCGCGGGGCCGGGAGGGGGUGGGGGGUGCGGAGGGGGGGGGGGGGGAAGGCGGGCGGGGAGGCCCCGCUCUGCCGGGGCGCGCAGGUAACAAGUUUCGGAGUUGGGGCUGCCGAGGCCGGCCGGGCACCGGAGGCUCCCCCGCCGCUCCCCGCGGUGGCUCGGCGUCCCCGCCCGGGCCGGAGGGCGGCGGCGCGGCCGGGGCGGGGGCCGGGGGGGGGGCCCCCCGAGCCCGCUCCCCGCAGCGGCGGCGGGGCGGUCGCGGGGCGUGUGGGGGAAGGCAGCGUGUAACGGUCCCGGACAGGCGGCGGAGUGCGGAGGCACCGCUAGGCGGAGGAGGGAGGCAGGCGGCGAGGCGAGGGAGGCACCAGGUAGCGGAUAUAACGUGCUCGGCCGGAACCUUGUUGCCAGGGGAGACGGGCGCUUUACGGCAGGACGUUUGAACGGCGGCGGGGGAAAAGUUGCGGCCGCAGGUCUCACCGAGAAGCAAACAGCCGGACCGGAGCGACGCUGCUCCCAGCGUGUGGGAAAUCUGUCAUUCUGGGGCUUGCCUUAAUCAUACUUCCCGCUUUUACGAGGAGGAGAAGAGGUAUAAAAUUCUAUGCCCUAAAAAGUAAAAAGGGAAGGGAGCCGUUUUUCACAGAUAAUUGAUGAACAGCCUCAUUUGGGCUUAAUAAACGUAUUUAGUGUAUUAAAAAUUAAAAACAUUACCACUAUUUAUUUACUCUUGCUUUUCACGCUUCAGGCAAUAAAAUAGUUUGGUAACUUUCCAUUUGUUUCUAGGCUUUCUUCUUUCCUUUUUUUUUUUUGUCCUUAUCCUGGGAUGAUUCUGUAGAAUUUAUGGUUCUGUGCUUCCGGCGAAUUCUUUUAUUCAAGCAAAUUAAAUUUCAGUGAAAGCGUUUCUGUUAAUGGGAUACUUUUAAUAAGUAAUUGAUACACUACUGAAUUUGAGGCCUUUAGCUAUACAUUGUCUCCACCUGCUAUACGUUCACACGCUGUCACCUAUCGCCUCAUCUCAUGGAAGCGGCGUAACCUGUCUCUAGAAAACGAACUAUUGCACACUGGGAGUCUGUGGAAGGACCUUGCAUCUGAAGCUUCCCCAGAAGUCAGUACGAUCAGAAAUGCUUAGAAAAGAGAUAUAGGGCUAAAAUGGAUGCAGAGUUAGGUAAAGAUCUAGAGGGAUUUUUUCAAAAUUAAUUGUACUCUUAGAAUUGUACAUGAGUCAUGGAUUUGGGUACUCGCAAGAAAGCAGUUGUUGCCCUUCUUUACAGGUACAAAUCAUUUGUCUAAUAUCUCUCAAAAAAACUGGUAAAUUUAGGUGUAGUGUUUUUACGGAUGUAUCUUUACCCAGUGUGAAUUGGCUGCUGACUUCAACAAUUUAAUGAGGAUCUACCUGAGAGUCAUUAAAUAAGGGUAACAAAUCAAACAGUACAAAGUGUUUGAUGGACUAACAGAAGUCAUUUAAAAGCAUUAGAUUUGGCAUUAGCUGGGAGUACUGAACCCCAAACACAAGGGUAGCUAAGAACGCAACAUGAAACCAACUACAAGAUAAAAAUGAAACUUGUCAGCAAAAUUUCGAGUGAGUGAAUUGCAAGGGUUAAGGCAGAAUCUUGUUUUUCUCUGGCUUUAAUAGUUCCACAUCGUUGCUCAUCAAGUUUUUGUACAGAAGAUACCUGUGGCUCUGAAACUGCUUGCAAACGAGGGCUUAAGGUGUUUCAGAGUUCUUGGAUGUUUUUAUCAUUCUGUGGAUGAAUUUAACCAAAAUAUUAAUAUUAUUUUCAUGCUAAGUUUUUAGUUCCUUAAAAUGUGUCAUGUUUUACAAGGUAGUUGCAAAAAUAAAAAUAAUAACCUAUCUGUAAAUAUAUUUGUAGAUUUGUAAUAAUAUUCCCCUGCAUGCCCCCACAAAAUUCCAGGCCCCUCUUUAAGCGGCUUUCAAGUAGCUUGUUUUCAUUGAGUUUUGUCACUCUUUACCUCUGGAUAAGAAUUCUUGUCUCUUCAUUUUGAGCAAUUUAUGUUCCCUAACAGAAUGAGGAGGGAAACAGUCUCCUGGUGUUUGUUAUUGCUCAUUUUCAAAUAGCCAUAGUGUCUGUUUGAGCAUUAGUCUCUUGAGAUUUCCAAGCAGCUGGGAGAAACCGGUGACAACUCUUGCUGCCCAUUAGUUUCUGAAGAGCAGAACUGAAACUGGCAGGAGCAUUGGUAGCUCUAUGCUGCUAUAGUUUUGAUAAAUGAGAAGAGAAAACCAAAGCAAUCUUUGUAUAUGUUAUCUUUGAUACCACAGAGGUCUAGAAACUAAAAAAGGAGAGGAUAGCCUUGUGCGUCAAGUUAUCGAUUACCCCAAUGACUACUCAUUGUGGAAAGCAUCUCAUUCGCAACUUGUAAAUAGAUAUGUGGAUGGGUUGGUUUUUUGAUUUUUGUUUUUUAAAUUUUGAUAUAUUUAAUCAAAGCAACUGGGCAUUUCACAUCUUUGUAUACAAAGUUCCCAUUAUUUACUGUGCUAAAAAAGCAUCACAAUUAAGGAUGCGGCCACUGUCAAAGUGUUUUGACCUAAUACAUUCUUCUAAUUCUGGAUGCAAACCCACUAGUUAAAAUUCCUGCUAUCUUUGUAGUGUUCUGCAAUGUAAGAGCACAUUGUAUACGUAAUUUAAACUGCUUUGUGCUGCAAGAAUGAAAAAAUCCUGUUUUUCUUUAUGGUGCAUAGCUUUCGAUCUGACUUUUCAGUCAAGGAUGCAGGAGUUAAUUAAUGUACUAAUUUGCAAAAUCUCAGCAAAGCAGUAUAUAUUCUGCAUCCUCCUAAAUAUGGCAGGCUUGAGAAUAUGUUUCUUUAAAGGAGGAAUUCUAAGACAGUGGUCAUCCAUAACAAUUAGUUUGUCUCUAGUGGCACAGUUUGUGUGGGGAUUUAGGCAACCUAAAUAGGCAUAAUGUAGUUGAAAUGUCAGAUUGCAUAGCUGCUAUACUUCACCUUUUUUGAAAUUUAUUUCCAUUGUCUGAAGACAGGAAUUAAAAUACUUCAGCAGUCACACUGGAGUAUGGAUGCUCGAAAACCAGCUAAUGAUUAUUACAGACAAUUUUUGCCGUUUUAAAAAUAGUCAUGUAUUUUGUGUUACGGUUUAUGAUCUCUUGAGUAUGUAUUAUUAAAUAAAAGCAAUCAGU
Molecule: long non-coding RNA, 3158 nt
Organism: Harpia harpyja (harpy eagle)
Lineage: Eukaryota; Metazoa; Chordata; Aves; Accipitriformes; Accipitridae
Exons: 3
Source: RefSeq, a predicted model, not a curated record